UACGUAGGGGGCAAGCGUUGUCCGGAAUUAUUGGGCGUAAAGAGCUCGUAGGCGGUUUGUCGCGUCGGCUGUGAAAACCCGGAGCUCAACUCCGGGCCUGCAGUCGAUACGGGCAGACUGGAGUUCGGCAGGGGAGACUGGAAUUCCUGGUGUAGCGGUGAAAUGCGCAGAUAUCAGGAGGAACACCGGUGGCGAAGGCGGGUCUCUGGGCCGAUACUGACGCUGAGGAGCGAAAGCGUGGGGAGCGAACAGG
This 253-nucleotide ribosomal RNA is filed under the name uncultured bacterium. RNAcentral describes it as "partial 16S ribosomal RNA". It matches the Rfam family "Bacterial small subunit ribosomal RNA", at positions 524 to 776 of the family's 1533-position model. The record is from RNAcentral.